GAUGAAGAACGUAGCGAAAUGCGAUAAGUAAUGUGAAUUGCAGAUUUCAGUGAAUCAUCGAAUCUUUGAACGCACAUUGCGCCCGCUAGUAUUCUGGCGGGCAUGCCUGUUCGAGCGUCAUUUCAACCAUCAAGCCCUAGGCUUGCGUUGGAGCCCUGCGGCUGCCGCAGGCUCCCAAAUCCAGUGGCGGGCUCGUCGUCGUACCGAGUGCAGUAAACAUCCUCGCUCAGGGAACGUGACGGGUUCUUGCCGUGAAACCCCCCACAUAUCAAGGUUGACCUCGGAUCAGGUAGGAAUACCCGCUGAACUUAAGCAUAUCAAUAAGCGGAGGA
This 332-nucleotide unclassified non-coding RNA is filed under the name soil metagenome. RNAcentral describes it as "partial contains 5.8S ribosomal RNA, internal transcribed spacer 2, and large subunit ribosomal RNA". The stretch from base 1 to 120 matches the Rfam family "5.8S ribosomal RNA", at positions 35 to 154 of the family's 154-position model. The record is from RNAcentral.